Long non-coding RNA from Drosophila willistoni, 468 nucleotides. RefSeq lists it as uncharacterized. The transcript is spliced from 3 exons. The record is from RefSeq and is a predicted model, not a curated record. NCBI's taxonomy places the organism in Eukaryota, Metazoa, Arthropoda, Insecta, Diptera, Drosophilidae.
AUUUUCAGUGUUGGCAAUGGAAAAAAUGUUUAAAAAUCUAUAACAUAUUUAAGAGAGAAGCUUAAAGAGUUCAUUUCUUAAUCAAAUCUGGAUAUUAUAACCUAAAUGUGACAAAAUGACGAUAAAAAGAGACUUGUCAGUCAGCAGGGAGCAGCAGCAGCAGAAGCAGGCAGGCCCAUUAAUUUCUACGCCCCUCAAUUAUUUUGUGGCAGCAAAUGAAGUAUGAAACCAACAUAAACGCAAAACGUGUGCCACAUACUAAAAACCAAAAAAGGGCGACGACUAAAUGAACGGCAAAAGCGACAACAAACUAUAGCAACAACACCAACAACAACAAAUUAACCAGCAUAAUUAAAAAUUCGCAUGACCACUGAAAACUAAAGUUGAAGAACAUGAUGGUGGGCUAUCAGAUGAAAAAGACUCGCUAGAAUUUGUAAUGUAUGCAUAUCAGAUUCACACGCAUUUGAA